Molecule: long non-coding RNA, 1918 nt
Filed under: Apteryx rowi (Okarito brown kiwi)
Lineage: Eukaryota; Metazoa; Chordata; Aves; Apterygiformes; Apterygidae
Description: lncRNA (ENSARWG00000008651.1)
Source: RNAcentral
AUCCGCCGGCGCCAGCCUGUGGAGGUGGUCGGCUAAGGAGGUGCGUUUUGAAACGAAGAGCCCUGGAAAGGAAAAGGUGCUCUGGGGUUUGAGGCCUCUUGGGGGUUGCGGCUGUGGCUUUGCUGGGCGCGAACAGACGCAGGCCUGAGCCCGGACUAGAGGAAGGCAGCGCUGUGUGUGCGGGUGCUGAGGCAGGUGGGAGCCGUCGCCUCGUCACCUCAUCACCUCGUUACCUCGUGCCUUGGGAGCGCGAGGAGCAGGGGCAGGUGUCUGGGCGGCUUGUUUUGUGCCCAAGCCCCGGCAGCGCUGUGCUUGACCGUCCAUUUGCUUGGCCUGCGCUCUCCGGGGAGAGCUUGCAGGGCCACGAGGGGAGCACGGGGCUGGAGGAGCAUGGCAGGGGCCGUGGGUUUUGCUUUUUUGGGUUUUUGGGUUUUUUUCCUUUUUUCUUUCUUUAGUACUUUUCUACAAGCAACCUUUUGCCAGCGGCAGGAACCUAGGUUUUUCGACUCGUCGCGGUCGCAGACCUGGCCGCCUGCCCCGCUCCGCCUGCUCACUGGGCGGCCGCGCUUCGUGGGCCCUGGCCCGUGCCGCCCCUCGUCCCUCGUGUCCCGGCCCCAUCGCCUUCCCCGGAGAGUUUUAAAACCUUCUUGUUCCAGUGAGAUCUGAUCAUAAAAGUUAUCCUGCAGAGAAAAAGUACCAGGCCUGGAGCUUGAAUUCAGCUGGAAGCCUUUUAAGGGAUGCAGCUUUCUUGAUAGCAUGGAUAACUGACAGCAAAACCACUGGCGAAUGUGUAGUCAACAGUCAGGUGCCUGCUUGGUCCCAGAAAAGGUAGCUGAGAAAGCAGUGGCAUUCCCUGGCAGAGGAGGCAGAGUAGUCCCUUGGCGAGAGGCGGCAGCGGGACCACGCCGCUCUGCGGAGCACCUGAACACAGCGCCGAGUGCCGUGAUGGAUAAAGGGAGGCCACCUGGCUCCCGGGCCCUCAGCAGAUCCCUUCCUGCCUCUCUCUCCUUGUACACCACAGAAAAAGUCAUCCUGGUCUUCUGGCGAGCCUGUGCCAGCCUUUCUAAACGAUACUACGAGGCUCCAUCUAGAAAUGACAUGAGCUGCUUCUGGGCUGAAGCAAGGACUUCUGCUGGUUGGCAAGAGGCUCUGGAGGAGACUGCACUUACACCAAACUCUAGCAAUGUGAUUCUGCCAGGCGAGGAUGCAUUCACAUGCAUCCAGGAUCAUGCUUAUGAAAUCAGCUUGAAGACCAAGGGAGAGACGGUAGCAAGAGACUGUCAGAUCUCAGCUACUGAACAGUCUGUACGCUCACACUGCAGUGUGGAAGAAACAGAAGAUGCCUUUCUAAUACCAGUGAGAAUGUGUCAGCAGAGAAGGUUGGCUGAUAAAAGACAAGGACUAGGAGGAGACGUCUUCAGGAGCAGGACCUGGGCUGUGCUGCGGUGGUCUUUCAGCAUGUCCGGGAGCCAAGACAAGUCGGCCCUCAGUGACCCCGCUACAUUCAGCACCACUGGACAAAGAUCCCCUGUUGAUUUGGUGGCUGCAGCCAUACAGUGGGAAGGUGUUGGGAAAACAGACUUCAGUGAGGCAGCAGGACUGAACAAGCAGGAUUAAUGAAAAAAAUGGCUGUCACAGGCUUAAAAAUAGCCUGCCAUAUGCCCAUGCGAAAGCUCGGAAAGCUCCACCAGGGAUGCGGGGUCGGCGCUCGCGCCCCAGCGUUGCAGCCCCCCGCUGCAGCAGGCGUCGCGGCCUCGAGCAGAGCUGCGCAGCCCCCAUCGCACUCACAGGAACGUGCCCCGGCCCAGCCAGCGCCCCGGGGAACCGGCGGGCUCGGCUCAGCCCCUUGCCUACCAACCGAGGCGAUACCUGAGCCGUCUUCUGCUGAACAGGAAACCCAACCCGCUCAUUUUAUACC